UACAGAGGGGGCAAGCGUUGUUCGGAAUUACUGGGCGUAAAGGGCGCGUAGGCGGCCUGUUAAGUCGAACGUGAAAUCCCUGGGCUCAACCCAGGAACUGCGUCCGAUACUGGCAGGCUUGAAUCCGGGAGAGGGAUGUGGAAUUCCGGGUGUAGCGGUGAAAUGCGUAGAUAUCUGGAGGAACACCGGUGGCGAAGGCGGCAUCCUGGACCGGUAUUGACGCUGAGGCGCGAAAGCGUGGGGAGCGAACAGG
This 253-nucleotide ribosomal RNA is filed under the name uncultured bacterium. RNAcentral describes it as "partial 16S ribosomal RNA". It matches the Rfam family "Bacterial small subunit ribosomal RNA", at positions 524 to 776 of the family's 1533-position model. The record is from RNAcentral.